AUUGAACGCUGGCGGCAUGCCUUACACAUGCAAGUCGAACGGCAGCACGGGAGCAAUCCUGGUGGCGAGUGGCGAACGGGUGAGUAAUAUAUCGGAACGUGCCCAGUCGUGGGGAUAACGUAGCGAAAGCUACGCUAAUACCGCAUACGAUCUAUGGAUGAAAGCGGGGGAUCGCAAGACCUCGCGCGAUUGGAGCGGCCGAUAUCAGAUUAGGUAGUUGGUGAGGUAAAGGCUCACCAAGCCGACGAUCUGUAGCUGGUCUGAGAGGACGACCAGCCACACUGGGACUGAGACACGGCCCAGACUCCUACGGGAGGCAGCAGUGGGGGAUUUUGGACAAUGGGCGCAAGCCUGAUCCAGCAAUGCCGCGUGCAGGAUG
Molecule: ribosomal RNA, 379 nt
Filed under: uncultured bacterium
Lineage: Bacteria
Description: bacterial SSU rRNA
Rfam family: Bacterial small subunit ribosomal RNA
Source: RNAcentral